This 476-nucleotide ribosomal RNA is filed under the name uncultured bacterium. RNAcentral describes it as "bacterial SSU rRNA". It matches the Rfam family "Bacterial small subunit ribosomal RNA", at positions 29 to 506 of the family's 1533-position model. The record is from RNAcentral.
AGCGAACGUUUGCGGCGGGCCUAACACAUGCAAGUCGAACGCACUAGCAAUAGUGAGUGGCGCACGGGUGCGUAACACGUGGGUAAUCAACCCUUCAGCCUGGGAUAACGACUCGAAAGGGUCGCUAAUACCGGAUACGGCGCGAGAGGCUUCGGCUUCUCACGAGAAAGCCACGCAAGGGGCACUGAAGGACGAGCCUGCGGCCCAUCAGCUAGUUGGUGAGGUAAGAGCUCACCAAGGCUAAGACGGGUAGCUGGUCUGAGAGGAUGAUCAGCCACACUGGAACUGAGACACGGUCCAGACUCCUACGGGAGGCAGCAGUGGGGAAUAUUGCGCAAUGGGCGAAAGCCUGACGCAGCCACGCCGCGUGAGCGAUGAAGGCCUUCGGUCGUAAGACUCUGUGGGAGGAGACGAAGAAAGACCUGUGAAGAGCAGGCCUUGACGGUAUCUCCUUAGCAAGCACCGGCUAACUCCGU